AUUGAACGCUGGCGGCAGGCCUAACACAUGCAAGUCGAGCGGAUGAAGGGAGCUUGCUCCUGGAUUCAGCGGCGGACGGGUGAGUAAUGCCUAGGAAUCUGCCUGGUAGUGGGGGAUAACGUCCGGAAACGGGCGCUAAUACCGCAUACGUCCUGAGGGAGAAAGUGGGGGAUCUUCGGACCUCACGCUAUCAGAUGAGCCUAGGUCGGAUUAGCUAGUUGGUGGGGUAAAGGCCUACCAAGGCGACGAUCCGUAACUGGUCUGAGAGGAUGGUCAGUCACACUGGAACUAGGAACCGGUCCAGACCCCUACGGGAGGCAGGAGGGGGGAAUAUUGGAAAAUGGGCGAAAGCCUGACCCAGCCAUGCCGCGUGUGUGAAGAAGGUCUUCGGUUUGUAAAGCAUUUUAAGUUGGGAGGAAGGGCAGUAAGUUAAUCCCUUGUUUUUUUGACGUUACCAACAGAAUAAGCACCGGCUAACUUCGU
This 483-nucleotide ribosomal RNA is filed under the name uncultured bacterium. Its description in RNAcentral is "partial 16S ribosomal RNA". It matches the Rfam family "Bacterial small subunit ribosomal RNA", at positions 30 to 506 of the family's 1533-position model. The record is from RNAcentral.